GCCCAGAUAGCUCAGUAGGUAGAGCACGCGACUGAAAAUCGCGGUGUCGACAGUUCGAUUCUGUCUCUGGGCA
Molecule: transfer RNA, 73 nt
Filed under: Sandaracinaceae bacterium
Lineage: Bacteria; Pseudomonadati; Myxococcota; Polyangiales; Sandaracinaceae
Description: tRNA-Phe
Rfam family: tRNA
About the family: Transfer RNA (tRNA) molecules are approximately 80 nucleotides in length. Their secondary structure includes four short double-helical elements and three loops (D, anti-codon, and T loops).
Source: RNAcentral